GACGAACGCUGGCGGCGUGCUUAACACAUGCAAGUCGAACGGAAAGGCCCUGCUUUUGUGGGGUGCUCGAGUGGCGAACGGGUGAGUAACACGUGAGUAACCUGCCCUUGACUUUGGGAUAACUUCAGGAAACUGGGGCUAAUACCGGAUAGGAGCUCCUGCUGCAUGGUGGGGGUUGGAAAGUUUCGGCGGUUGGGGAUGGACUCGCGGCUUAUCAGCUUGUUGGUGGGGUAGUGGCUUACCAAGGCUUUGACGGGUAGCCGGCCUGAGAGGGUGACCGGCCACAAUGGGAAUGAGGAACGGCCCAGAAUCCUACGGGGGGCAAGCGUUGGGAAUAUUGCCACAUGGGCGGAAGCCGGAAUCCGGAACCUCGCGUGCGGGAUGACGGCCUUCGGGGUGUAAACCGCUUUCGCCUGUGACGAAGCGUGGGUGACGGUAAUGGGUUAAGAGGCAACGGCUAAAUACGUG
RNAcentral lists this ribosomal RNA (468 nucleotides) under uncultured bacterium. Its description in RNAcentral is "partial 16S ribosomal RNA". It matches the Rfam family "Bacterial small subunit ribosomal RNA", at positions 28 to 507 of the family's 1533-position model. The record is from RNAcentral.